This 253-nucleotide ribosomal RNA is filed under the name uncultured bacterium. RNAcentral describes it as "partial 16S ribosomal RNA". It matches the Rfam family "Bacterial small subunit ribosomal RNA", at positions 524 to 776 of the family's 1533-position model. The record is from RNAcentral.
UACGUAGGGUGCAAGCGUUGUCCGGAAUUAUUGGGCGUAAAGAGCUCGUAGGCGGUCUGUCGCGUCGGCUGUGAAAACUCGGGGCUCAACCCCGGGCCUGCAGUCGAUACGGGCAGACUAGAGUGCGGUAGGGGAGACUGGAAUUCCUGGUGUAGCGGUGAAAUGCGCAGAUAUCAGGAGGAACACCGGUGGCGAAGGCGGGUCUCUGGGCCGUAACUGACGCUGAGGAGCGAAAGCGUGGGGAGCGAACAGG